This 2043-nucleotide long non-coding RNA is filed under the name Amphibalanus amphitrite. RNAcentral describes it as "uncharacterized LOC122368478, transcript variant X2". The record is from RNAcentral. Lineage: Eukaryota; Metazoa; Arthropoda; Thecostraca; Balanomorpha; Balanidae.
UACAAAAUUAAAUUUUCUAUCUGCUGGUGUAAGGUGUUAUACAAAAUAAAUUGGGGCUCAGUACGAAAUUCGAUGUUAAAAACUGCAGACCAUAAUUAUCACCUGCAGCUGCGCACAGUUUACUGUACUGUUAUCGCUAGCGAACGCCAGCGCUCUCAUUUGAUUGGUUUAACGGCGUGUUCGUUGCUGACGGAGAACAUCCCUGAUUUUUUAAUUUGUUUUGAUUAGGCUUGGAUUAGGCCGAUUAGGCACAUUGGAAUUCGGUUAAAAUUCAAUUUAAAAUUGUGCAGCUUGUUGAUGGUAGAAGUUGUGAAGCGCAUAACAUAAAAGAGUUGUGUAGAGAUUGUAUGGGGUGUUGGCGUUUUUGAAAUUUCCUUUUUCUUGUGCUCUUUUGAGAUCUUUGCAGGGGUUGGAAAUUUGCAAUCACAAUGCCACCAGGAAACAGUGUUUUUUUCAUGCCACAGUUAUGGGCAACACGGCAGGGCAAAGUUUGCCUCAAGUCCUGGCUCGUUCGUAGCCUUGAUUUGCAUUCAAGAAAGCAGGUGUGUGCCCAAAUGGAUGCUGCACAUUUUUUAUAUUCUUCAAAGCUAUCGAGGUUCAUUUGCCGAUUCUGCAUGGAGUAUGCGAAGCAAAGCAGUGUCAUGCUGACGCGGAUACGAAGACGUUGUAUCUGGCGGUGGUUCUGGAGACAGCGCGGUUCGAUCCAGCUGUGGGCCUGACGUCACCCAGCAGAAAUGGCAGCGUGUUAUCACCAGCUACGAGGCGCGCAUACAGACAUUGUCCAGAAACAAUCACGUCAUCUCCAGAGCGCCACGCGACCACGAUGGUACUGCCAACGAUGGCCUGCUCACCGACAGCUCCCCGCCAGCCGGCGGCGUUCCGCCAGCCAACGGGCUUCCGCCAGCCAACGGCGUUCUGCCCGCCGAUGGUGGCCCGACGACCGACGGUCGCUCGCCGGCCGAAGGUGAUCCUGUAGCCGAACGAGGCUCGCCGACCUACGCCGAUCGACGCCGGCCCGCCCGCCGACGACGCCCUGCCAGCCGACCGCGUCCCGCUCGCCGACGGCGUCGAUACGCCGGCGCGCGUAUCGACAUUGAUCAGAAACGAUCACAUUAUGUCCAGGUCAUUAGUCGCGGGCGCUCGAGCUGACGGUGUCGUCUGACGGCUCCGCGGUGACCAGCGCCGCCUCCGCCGAGAACAUCAGACUCCUGAAAUGCUAAUGGCCGUACACGAACAAGAGGCUCUAAACAUCCAGGUGCAGGAUAAGCGCCAUGCUCAGAGGCGUCAUCUGGAGAAGGCCGCACAGUGCACUUAAGGCUGAGCUCGGGUGUAGUGCGCGCAGACAGAUAUGAUCAACUGACGGGCCGGCCAUCAGAUUUCAGUACGGAACUCAAGAUGAUUGGAGCCGACGUGGUUCGGUUGAUGGUGUGUCAGGGUUGAUUGAGAGUGGAGGCGAGACACCCGGAUCUGUGAAUGAUACGCCGAUACGGAUCUCGACGUCGUCUUGCAAUUUGUGCUAUGUAAUAUGACGGCUAUGCCGUGGUAUCAUUCACUCUCGAUGCGCUUAUAAAUAAUAAAUAGGACAGAGACUGGAAUUAAGAUUAUUAUAUUUGGAUGUAAGGGGCAGGUUUUGGCCAGCUCUAUAUUAGAAAUCGUGAGCGUGCUAGUUGCAAUCAAUCGCGCGCUUCUUGCUGAGCAUCUGUGAGCGAGAAAAUACUUUCUCUGGAACGUUCGUCGUAAAAUAUGUGUAUCUUUGGAAUAAGUUGUCAGAACAUGAAUGCAUUUUUGGUGUCCACUGCAGCUGCUGUUCUGGAACAGAAACAUGCCGAGAUCGGCUGUGUAGGUAUGUACUAUGUACGCUGUGGCAAAAUCAAGCAGCCGUACCAUGAAUCAAAAGCGGUAUGUGAAUUAAAGUGGAUAUAUUUCACUAUUUUUUCAGUUAUAUCAUACAGAUCACAGAAAUGCGUCAAAUACUGAUCACACCCGGUUCCAAACAACUAAACGCUUGCGAUCACUGGAAAGUAAAUAAACAAUAGAUACCCA